Molecule: unclassified non-coding RNA, 313 nt
Filed under: uncultured fungus
Lineage: Eukaryota; Fungi
Also listed under: 1 other name
Description: partial contains 5.8S ribosomal RNA, internal transcribed spacer 2, and large subunit ribosomal RNA
Rfam family: 5.8S ribosomal RNA (bases 1-52)
Source: RNAcentral
AACGCACCUUGCGCUCUCUGGUAUUCCGGAGAGCAUGCCUGUUUGAGUGUCAUGAACUCUUCAACCCACCGGUUCCUUGUUGGACCGUGUUGGUGUUUGGAUUUUGAGCGCCUGCAGUCGAAAGACUGCUCGCUCGUAAUGCAUUAGCAUCUCAAUUUCGAACCUCGGAUUGACUCAGCGUAAUAGACUAUUCGCUGAGGACACUCUUUCAUUAGGGUGGCCGAAUUGUAGAUAACAGUAGAAGCUGCCAACCCUUCUAGUCAAAUCUUUAGAUUUAGACCUCAAAUCAGGCAGGAUUACCCGCUGAACUUAA